UGGGGAAUUUUGGACAAUGGGCGAAAGCCUGAUCCAGCAAUGCCGCGUGUGUGAAGAAGGCCUUCGGGUUGUAAAGCACUUUUGUCCGGAAAGAAAUCCUUGGCUCUAAUACAGUCGGGGGAUGACGGUACCGGAAGAAUAAGCACCGGCUAACUACGUGCCAGCAGCCGCGGUAAUACGUAGGGUGCAAGCGUUAAUCGGAAUUACUGGGCGUAAAGCGUGCGCAGGCGGCUUGCUAAGACCGAUGUGAAAUCCCCGGGCUCAACCUGGGAACUGCAUUGGUGACUGGCAGGCUAGAGUAUGGCAGAGGGGGGUAGAAUUCCACGUGUAGCAGUGAAAUGCGUAGAGAUGUGGAGGAAUACCGAUGGCGAAGGCAGCCCCCUGGGCCAAAUACUGACGCUCAUGCACGAAAGCGUGGGGAGCAAACAGGAUUAGAUACCCUGGUAGUCCACGCCCUAAACGAUGUCAACUAGUUGUUGGGGAUUCAUUUCCUUAGUAACGUAGCUAACGCGUGAAGUUGACCGCCUGGGGAGUACGGUCGCAAGAUUAAAACUC
Molecule: ribosomal RNA, 555 nt
Filed under: uncultured bacterium
Lineage: Bacteria
Description: partial 16S ribosomal RNA
Rfam family: Bacterial small subunit ribosomal RNA
Source: RNAcentral